RNAcentral lists this ribosomal RNA (255 nucleotides) under uncultured Sordariales. Its description in RNAcentral is "partial large subunit ribosomal RNA". It matches the Rfam family "Eukaryotic large subunit ribosomal RNA", at positions 40 to 300 of the family's 3401-position model. The record is from RNAcentral. Lineage: Eukaryota; Fungi; Ascomycota; Sordariomycetes; Sordariales.
AUAUCAAUAAGCGGAGGAAAAGAAACCAACAGGGAUUGCCCUAGUAACGGCGAGUGAAGCGGCAACAGCUCAAAUUUGAAAUCUGGCCUCGGCCCGAGUUGUAAUUUGUAGAGGAAGCUUUUGGCGAGGCACCGACUGAGUCCCCUGGAACGGGGCGCCACAGAGGGUGAGAGCCCCGUAUAGUUGGACGCUGAGCCUCUGUAAAGCUCCUUCGACGAGUCGAGUAGUUUGGGAAUGCUGCUCAAAAUGGGAAGG